This is a long non-coding RNA of Astatotilapia calliptera (eastern happy), 659 nucleotides long. Lineage: Eukaryota; Metazoa; Chordata; Actinopteri; Cichliformes; Cichlidae. The record is from Ensembl.
AAAAAGGACCUAGCCCGCCUACUGUCCCACUAUUUUCCCACUGAUGUUCAAAUACCUUUCCGCUAACAAGAUAAUGCGUUUAUUCAGAGGACCUCUGCAGGAGAAAGUGGAAGAGCCUCAGGGACACAUAUAAUAAGGAGAAGAGGACAGAGAAGGAGAAGAGGAGUGGGUCUGCAGCAGGAUUGGGGAAGAGAUGGAAGUUCUUCGCGGUAAUGGGGUUUCUGGACCCCUUCCUCACCCCGCGGGAGACAAGCAGCAAUAUGGUGCGGACCGUGGAGAACUUCCCCCCCGAGGACCAGGGACAGCCCGGAGAGGCAGCAGGGGAGUGUCAGUCAGAAGAGUCAACUGAUGCUGCAGCAGAGCAUCCCCUGUUGCUUCUCCUGGCUCCCCAGUCCCUGAGCUCCUGCUGCUGCACCCACAGGCCCACAGAGGAGGACGGCUCAAAGGCGGUCGAGGCACGGGUCCCAGGAUGGUCCAUAGGCAGUGGAGCUGGCCAUCCUGGAGUCCCUGAAGUGGCCACGCCAGUCUCCAACGGAGCAUUUCCUCCUCAGCCUUGUUCCUGCUCUGGAGAGCAUGCCGCCUCAGACACGAGAAUUCAUGAAAUUUCAAAUGUAUAAAUUAGUUUGUGGAAACAGCACAGCUGUGUUAAAUUUGGAAAC